Molecule: ribosomal RNA, 492 nt
Filed under: uncultured bacterium
Lineage: Bacteria
Description: partial 16S ribosomal RNA
Rfam family: Bacterial small subunit ribosomal RNA
Source: RNAcentral
AGUGAACGCUGGCGGUAGGCCUAACACAUGCAAGUCGAACGGCAGCACAGUAAGAGCUUGCUCUUACGGGUGGCGAGUGGCGGACGGGUGAGGAAUACAUCGGAAUCUACUUUUUCGUGGGGGAUAACGUAGGGAAACUUACGCUAAUACCGCAUACGACCUACGGGUGAAAGCAGGGGAUCUUCGGACCUUGCGCGAUUGAAUGAGCCGAUGUCGGAUUAGCUAGUUGGCGGGGUAAAGGCCCACCAAGGCGACGCUCCGUAGCUGGUCUGAGAGGAUGAUCAGCCACACUGGAACUGGGACACGGUCCAGACUCCUACGGGAGGCAGCAGUGGGGAAUAUUGGACAAUGGGCGCAAGCCUGAUCCAGCCAUACCGCGUGGGUGAAGAAGGCCUUCGGGUUGUAAAGCCCUUUUGUUGGGAAAGAAAAGCAGCAGGUUAAUACCCCGCUGUUCUGACGGUACCCAAAGAAUAAGCACCGGCUAACUUCGUG